GUUUUGAAAACGGUGUUGAUACAGUGGAAGGCUUGUGGUGUUGCUGGCCCUUGAUCGCUGGAAGGAUUCCGAGGUGUAGUUUUCGAAGCGGGAGUUUUGUUCGCAUUGGGCGCUUAGCGUCUGUUACUGUCGCUAACGGGAGAUUGUCAACGUGUUUGCAUUGGGCCAUUUGCAUCAGUUGGGACCGUUGUUACUGACCUCCUAGGUUGUGUGUUGCGUUUACACGCUUAAAUCCGGGUUUCACGGUCUCUUAGUACUCGCGUAUUUAAGCUCAUCGCGCGUACCUUACUUCUACGCGUUCACGUCGGUUCGUCCGGGCCUAUCAGCGCCGCUGCUUUUAAAUUGGCCGUGUGCGCUUUACGUUUGCACCUUUACGUCGGAUCACUGGGGUCCAUCAGCGCCGUAGUUUUUGAGCUGGCCGGGCGUGCUUUCGAGCGCUUAGUUGCUUUCGGUUUCACUUGGUUGCGGCGUGACGAUCAUUGAGUUAAAGGUUACUGCACUCACUUCAGUCGCCAUCGGUCUCCGUAAUCUGACUGCCCUUUGCUAUUACUUGCUUCACUCACAUACGAUAUGCGGACGGUCCUAUUUAAGUUGAGCGCCCAUACUUCACUAUCCCAAGUGGGACUGCUUUUUCAUUUACGUGUCUCUAUCCGAGGCAGUAUAAACAUCUUUCCAUUCAAGUUUACCGCAUGUGUUUCACUAUCGAGAGUCGGACUGCUUUUGGAUUUACGUGGCUUUGUGGGAUGCGGUAUGAAGAUCGUUGCAUUCAAGUUUACCGCCUCUACUUCACUGCAGAAUCUGACUGCCGUCAGAUCUGUAUGACAGAUUGUUGCAUUCGUUUUCUGCGGGUACGUCACUAUCCAGUCUACUUUUUCCAUUGACGUGGCUGAGUCAUAUGUAGUAUGACUGUCAGAGACGUUGGAACCUGAAGCGACCCCAUUUUGAGUGAGGGCUAGAAAAAUGAGGCCGGGACUUACGGGCCUGCAUUCUCAGAAGGAUAUUCCUAGCUUUCAGAUACUUACGGUUAAGGGAACAAAUUAAUGUUUACUGAAGAGACCCGAGUGUCCAGAUAGCUGGAUAUCUGGAGAACAAAGGCGUUCCUAAUUUUGCUUUAAAGGUAGUAAUAGGGAUUCUUGCAAAAUGUAAUAAUUAAAGUUAAUUAUCACAAACCCUUGUAACAGAACACCUCUCCCCAUGUGUACAAGCAUUGUACCUAGGGUGGAUACGUUCCUUCUCUUAGUUUCAGGAACGCCCUUCUCUGUCUGUGGAGUAGCUGUUCUUUCACCACUUUACUUUCUUAAUAAACUUGCUUUUAUUUUGCACCGCGGACUUGCCCUGAGUUAUUUCUUGCGCGAGACCCAAGAACCCUCUCUUUGGGUCUGGAUCGGGGCCCUUUUCCUGUGACGUAUUUCUGGCCACCACAGAUGGGACUAUAGUGCUUUGGGGAAGUGUUGGGGUCCUAUAACAUAUUUCUGGCGAAUGAUGGAAGGGACGAUACUGAAGAAACUCCCCCAACCCAAAGGAAGUAGACUGCAGCACUGCAGUAGUCAGUAGACUGACUUUGGGUAAGUGGUGGAGUGCCCGGGUAAAGAAUGGGAUUGGGUUAGAGGCCCAACUUAAUGGAGUUAGAGUCUUUCCUAAAAGAGAGUGGGUUAGAGGCCCCUCUUAAUAAAAGGCAAGGACACUUGACCGACCUCGGGUUAGAGGCCCGACCGAGGAGGGUUAGAGGCCCCUCCCAGUAAAGCCCCUCUCGGCUAAAAAACAGGUUUGACACCGCAGGCUAUGCUCUUUGUAUUAGUCUGCCUCGUCCUCCUUGUCUUGGUUGCUGUCUCCGUUUCAGUGUCAUUUUCAGGAGACUUCAUUUAACUGGUCUUAGGGAUUUUAACUGAUUCUUCUCCUAUGUCCCUCCCGAUUUCUGUCCGUUUGCUUGUGAAACACUGGGAACCAAAAGCAUUGGAGGAUCCGGCUCUAAAAUUGCUGAUUGAGAUUUGAUAUUUAACAGCUAUGAGCAGUAAGAUUCGAUAGAUGUGGUUGUGUUUUGUUGCUGCUGUGCUGAGUGUGAUUGAGAAGCACUAGGAUGGAAAUCAGGGGACUUUUCUCCUUGCUGUUUUGUUUGGUUUUGCACACUAAAAAAUCUCCUUUGUAGCUAAGUGCGGUGGCUCACACCUGUAAUCCCAGCACUUUGGGAGGCCGAGGCAGGCAGAUCACCUGAAAUCAGGAGUUCGAGACCAUCCUGGCCAACGUGUUGAAACCCCGUCUCUACUAAAAAUACAAACAUUACCCGGGUGUAGUGGCAGACAUCUGUAAUCCCAGCUUCUUGGGAUGCUGAGUCAGGAGAAUCGCUUUAAUCUAGGAGUCAGAGUUUGCAGUUAGCUGAGAUUGCACCACUGCACUCCAGCAGUCUUCUCAACAGAGCGAGACUCUGUCUCAAAAGAAAAUAAAAAAACUUUCUUUUCUUGGAUUCGGGCAAACCGUGUUUGCUUUGCUUUUCCAAUCCUCACUGCUGUUAUUGGUUACUCUGGUUGUUCCCAUCUAAAUCCUCUUCAUUUAUUUUGCCUUAUUCGACAUUUUUUUCAAAGUCCAUGUUGUGGUUUAUCUAAGAUUCAUAGCUCAGCUCACUUAUGUUAUUUGGAUAAUGUGAAUCAUGUUUGAUGAGAGGAAAAGAAGAAAAAGAUUUAGACAUACUAGGUGAUCCUUUAAUGCAAGCCCUGCUGUGGUUCAGCAGGCAUUUUUGGGUGGAGCGGAACCCCUUUCUGUCAGCUCUGAAGGUUCGUAUGUGUCAGUUCUUUCUCCCUGUAGUCCACCUGAAAGUUCUUGAGAACCCUUCGUCCCUUCUCCUUACCCAGCUAGUCCCACUCUGUACCCACCAUUCCCACAAAGAACUUAGCCCACCGAGUACUACUUAUAGUGCAGCCUGCUAUCAACCUCCAAAGGGAAAUCUUUGUCCACUUAGGUGGCAAAUCGGGAAGAGGGCACUGUGAGAGUACAUGUUCCCUUUUCUCCGUCUGGUUUGACCCUAUAUAUAGAGAAGGUUGGUCAUUUCUCUGAAGAUCCAGGAAAAUUUGUAGAUGAGUUUGAGAAAUCAACUCUGACCUAUAGUUUAACUUGGGAGGAUCUGCAUGUUUUGUUGUCUCUGUGUUGUACAGUGGAGGAGAAACAAUGCAUUUUGGGGACAGCUAGGACCCAUGCAGAUGAGGUAUUGGCUCGCAACCCGUACCAUACUAUGUAUCAGGCAGGAAGUAUAGCAGUUCCAGAUCAAGAUGCAGAGUGGAAUUAUCAAAGGCGCAGUGAGCACUUGGGGAGGAGAGAUCAUAUGGUCACUUGUUCGUUGGAAGGGAUGAAGAAAUGUAUGAAAAAGCCUGUUAUCUAUGAACAGGUUAAGGAAGAUUCUCAGGAUAAAGAUGAGAAUCCAGGUUUGUUUCAAGGGCAUUUAGUUGAAGCAAUCGGGAAGUAUAAUAUCACUGAUCCUGCCUCAAAGGAGAGACAAACCCUUUUGGGAGGACAUUUUAUGACCCAGUCUGCCCCUGAUAUCCCCAGGAAACUACAAAAAGCAGCUAUGGGAGCCGGGCGUGGUGGCUCAAGCCUGUAAUCCCAGCACUUUGGGAGGCUGAGGGGGGUGGAUCACUUGAGGUCAGGAGUUCAAGACCAGCCUGGCCAGCAUGGUGAAACCCCUUCUCUACUAAAAAUACAAAAAUUAGCUGGGGAUGGUGACAAGUGCCUGUAAUCUCACCUACUUGGGCGGCUGAGGCAGGAGAAUUGCUUGAACCCAUGAGGUGGAAGUUGCAGUGAGCCCAGAUCACGCUAUUGCACUCCAGCCUGGGUGACAGAGCGAGACUGUGUCUAAAAAAAAAAAAACAAAAACACACUAUGUGACUAUGUGUCCCUAGACUCCUAUUAAACAGCUUUUGGAUAUGGCAUUUUUAGUUUUUAAUAACGGGGACAAAGCACAGGAAGCAGAAAGAGGAGCAAGAAGGACCUCCCACAAGGUGCAGCUCUUGGCUGCAGCCUUAAGCUCACCUCCUACAUAGAGUUUCUUUCCUGGCUCUUGGAGUGAAGAAGGGAAGCUGAAAUGUGAGAAGCCCAGAGCUGGAUGUCCAAGUCAGCGUGUUUUGGGCAUGAAUCAGUGUGCACACUGUAAGGAAACUGGUCAUUGGAAGAGGGAUUGCCCAGUCUUCCUCCAAAGGGAGCUGUUAGGUCCAGGGCCGUGACUAUGACAAAUGUCAUGCUCAGGGUUAGGGUGCAGCCCAUGAUGAGGUCUGAGAGGAGUGGAUGGAUAGAUGAAUAGCUGAAAGAACAUUCGGGGCGGUGUAGACAGGUGAAAUGUAGUUUUAUUCAGCAGCUCUCUCAUCAGCAGUUCUCUCACACUAGCUCUUUUAUACUGUUCGCCUUUAUCUUGGCUGUCUGCUCUGACUCUGGACCCUCUCAGCAGCUAGCUCCCACUCACAGCUGCACAACUGGUCUGCAAGGCCAGCUCUAAGAUCAGUAGCUUAACCUUUCUCUCUGGGCACAAGCUGAGCCAUGUCCUGGCUCCCCUCUAUCCACCUGUCAGACAGUCAUUCUCCCUUACAGGGGUCAGUAGCUUCACUCUCUUUCUGAGCACCAGUGCCUGCACAAGAGCGAUGCUGAGCCAUGUUGAGUCCCCGUGCACAGUGUCAGCAGGGCAGUUAUUCCUUUUACAGACAGUAGUGGUGUAGAGCCAAGUAUGAGCUUACACAAACAGGUUAUAUAACAAGUGGAGGUGAGUGCCUGUGCAGCAGUCUCACUGAGUCAUGCAGGCCUGGAUAUCUGCCUCGGCUAUUCCUUGACCAAAGCACAUCCAUGUACCUUACAGCAGCCAUCUGCACCCAAACCAGAUGCCAAAAUAACCAGGGAAGCCCAAGAGUGACGGGGCCCAAGACCUUCCGCUACACCUCCCGUCGGACAACUAGCCAUAUCUUCUGAGAAGCCUCAGAUAACCCUUGACAUGACAGGAAAAGGACAACAACCUGUGUGGGUUCCCUCCCGACAACUGAAAUUGCACCAUAACUCCCAAGAAGAAACACUCCCAGAAACAAAAGGCAAAGACCCCUCUGAAACCAAAGAUCUGCAGAUCCCGCAAGGAAUCCGAAGACAAGUCCAAAGUCAACGACAAGCAAUGAUGGCAAUGGUGAUCCUAGUUAAUAAAAAGCGGGGAGAUGUGGGUGGCAAGCCACCCAGGUGCCGAGGCAAGAGACCGAGAGCACGAGCUGUUCCAGUGUAAUAAAAUAUAUAAAAUAACAAGAGUUAUACUGAUAUAGCUCAUAGAUAUGAUUAUAUAUAAAUACCAUUAAUCAUUAGUUUGUAGUAAUUACUCUUUAUUCAAAUAUUAUAAUAAUCCUCACUCUACAAUCAUAACCUAGAAAAAGGCAGGCCAUGCAGAGAUAGGAGCUGAGGGGACAUGGUGAGAAGUGACAAGAAGACAAGAGUGUGAGCCUUUUGUUAUGCCCAGGCAGGGCCACCAGAGGGCUCCUUGGUCUAGCAGUAAUGCCAGCGUCUGGGAAGAUGCCCGUACCAAGCGGACCAUGGUCUAGUGGUAGCGUCAGUGCCAAGGAAAAGCACCUGCUACUGAGCAGACCAGGAAAGGGAGUC
This 5607-nucleotide long non-coding RNA is filed under the name Homo sapiens (human). RNAcentral's name for it is "non-protein coding LINC00910:34". Lineage: Eukaryota; Metazoa; Chordata; Mammalia; Primates; Hominidae. The record is from RNAcentral.